CCUUUCUUUUUGUUCAUUCAUGCCUCUUUUCCUUUUGGAGGUGGUUGCAUUUAAGAUUUAUCAAUAAUUGCUUUUCCUAUUUAAAAUUGAUUUUUAACUAUAUAAAUGAUUUCCAAAUACCUUCUUCUUCCAAAAAACUGGAAGCCUACAGCUAAAGCUGCCAUUAAGUCAUCUUUGAGCACUAUCCAACGACCCUGAUGCCAUAUCCCAGGCAUUACAAUAGAGUAGUAAGGAAGGGCUGGAGCCAGAUUGCUUAGGUUCAAAUUAAACUAAUUAACUGGCUGUGCAACUUUAUGCAAGUUACUUAACCUGACUAUGCCUGAUUUUCUUAUCUGGAGGAUGGAUAUUAAUGCCUAACUCAUAGGGUGAUUUUAAGGAUUAAAUGUAAUAAUAUUUGUAAAGCACUUAAACACCAUAUGGCAUGUAGAAGCACUUAAUAAAUGUUAGCUAUUGUUCUUCUACUUACUACUUGUGAUAUGUAUUUCUUCCCAUAGAUCAUGCAAUGAGCUAUGAUCGCACCACUGCAGUCCAGCCUGGGCAAGAGAAUGAGCUGCUGUUCCCUCCCCACCCCCCCAAAAAAAAGAGAGAGAGAGUGAUAUGUUUUGGCUGUGUCCCCACCCAAAUCUCAUCUUGAAUUCCCACGUAUUGUGGGAGGGACUGGGUGGGAGCAACAUGAGAAGAGACUAAUACAGUAAAUUGGUACCAGGAGUGGGGCUGUACCCUGCAAAGCCACAGGGGCAGAGCUGCCUAAGACCAUGAGAACCCACCUCUUGCAUCAGUCUGACCUGGAUGUGAGACAUGGAGUCAAAGGAGAUCAUCUUGCAGGUUUAAGAUUUGAGGCCAAGCACGGUGGGUCACGCCUGUAAUCCCAGCACUUUGGAAGGUCUAGGUGGGUGGAUAACUGGAGGUCAGGAGCUCGAAACCAGCCUGGCCAACAUGG
RNAcentral lists this long non-coding RNA (940 nucleotides) under Homo sapiens (human). RNAcentral describes it as "HSALNT0046258". The record is from RNAcentral. Lineage: Eukaryota; Metazoa; Chordata; Mammalia; Primates; Hominidae.